ACCCAAUACUUUCAGACGAAAGCGCUUGUAUAUUGGACUUGCAUGAUUGACCUUGAAGCCCAUUUCCUCAAACAUUUUUAACUGAUCUACAAAGCCAUCAUUGGGGCAAACAAACUCGCAGCUUUCCUUUAGGGAUUCAAGAGCAUCUUCUUGAGAUAGUUGUUCAGUUCUCAUCAAAUAUGCUGUAAUGAUAGCUGCACUUCUUGAAACACCAGCAAAGCAAUGCACCAAAACAGAACCCGCUUUUCUACUCCGAUCAAUGAAAUCCAAACAAACAUCCAAGUAAUCUAACAAAUCCUCACUCUCCAUAUCUCUGAUGGACACAGCCAUCCUCACCAGCUUCAAAUCCUUGCCAGCAUACUCCAACGAGUACAAAAGCUUAUCAGGCGACAAAGAACUCUUCGACCCAUCACCUAAAUCAUUCUCAGAACCACCAACAUAUACCUUCUUAAUCUCCUUAGCAGGAAUCGUAAGACCACUCCGCCAUUCCGUGAAAAAGGAGAUAGAUGGAGAGCUUAAGACUGAGAGAACAUGCGUGAUCUCAGCGCUACCGUUUUGGAGAAUCUCUGCCGCGUCACUGAUGUUUCCGAUGAAUAGAUUCUCCCGAACACGGUACGGCAUCACAACUCACAAUCAAAGGCUUUUUUUCCUUUUUUUUUUUU
Molecule: unclassified non-coding RNA, 662 nt
Filed under: Hevea brasiliensis (rubber tree)
Lineage: Eukaryota; Viridiplantae; Streptophyta; Magnoliopsida; Malpighiales; Euphorbiaceae
Source: RNAcentral